AUGUGCGACUACUUCCUCCAGAGGAUGGAGGGCGACCAGGCCGGCGGCGGGGACCUCACAGACAUCGUGCGGGCGGGCGGCGCCAUGCCGGGCAAUAACGACGGCGACGGCACCAACCUCCCGUCCACGGCCGCCGAGUGGCAGCUGCAGCCCGCGGACCAGCCGAUGCUGUUCCCGCCUCCUCCGCCGCCGUCGGCGUCACCGGGGACCGGCGCCGACGUCUUCGGCGACCCUUUCGCGGGGCUCGGGGACCCGUUCAGCAGCGACUAUUCGUCGGGCGCCCCCGAAUUCCUGGAUGGCAUGCCAGACGCCAUGGCCAAAAUCGGCUUCGAAGCGGGCCCCGGCGGCGGCGUCAACGGCUGCGGAGGAGGCGGAGGCGGAGGCGGUGGCCAGAUGUUCGACAUGAGCAGGAAGCCGCUCUUGCCGAGGGGGAUGCAGAUGAUGCCGGCGGGAAUCGGUGGUGGGAUGGGGCCGAGGCUGAUGCAGUCGUCGCUGUCGCCCAUAGCGAUACGCCCGUACCCGGCCAUGACCGCGGGCGACAUGGUGAAGCUCGGCAUCACGCCCGGGCAGGCGGCCGGGUGCGCCAUCGACGCCGCUAUCGGCGGCAUGCAGAUGUCGUCGUCGCCGCGCAACAACAACAGCGGGAUCAAGCGCAGAAAGAACCAGGCAAGGAAGGUGGUGUGCAUUCCGGCACCGACAACGGCGGGUUCAAGACCAACCGGUGAGGUGGUUCCUUCUGAUCUCUGGGCAUGGAGGAAGUACGGCCAGAAGCCUAUCAAGGGCUCUCCUCACCCAAGAGGGUACUACAGAUGCAGCAGCUCGAAAGGGUGUUCAGCACGAAAGCAGGUGGAGCGCAGCAGGACUGACCCCAACAUGCUCGUCAUCACCUACACCUCCGAGCACAACCACCCAUGGCCGACCCAGCGCAACGCGCUCGCCGGCUCCACCCGGUCUCACCACGGCAAGAACGGCGGUGGGGGCGGCAGCGGCUCAGGCUCCAAAAGCUCGCACAACGAAAAGCAGACACAGAAUCAAAACGUCAAGGAGGAGAGAAAGGAUCACCGGGCCGCAGCGACAACGACGGCGACGACGACCACCAGCACAGUCACUACCACGGCCAGCACUUCUCCCGUGGUCGUGAAGGAGGAGACGUUGGCAGGAUCAUCGUCGGAAGCGCAGGCGAGAGACCAGAGAGCCAUGGACACUGUGACAGGAGUACUGCAGCAGGUCGACCACCGUGAGCUCAUGGACCAGGUGUUCAGCGAGAGCUACAGGCCUAUGAUACCGGGGUCCGGCCAGCACCAUGAGGACUUCUUUGCUGACUUCGCCGACCUCGCCGAGCUGGAGUCAGACCCCAUGAGCCUCAUCUUCUCCAAGGAGUACAUGGAAGCCAGGCCAAGCGGUGGUGCCAGCGAUCAUGGUGGCCAGGAGAAGGCGGUGGCCAAGGAGCUGGAUCCGUUCGACAUGCUAGAUUGGUCCACUACUUCUAGCACCGCAGGGAGCACGUUUGAGCAAGGAAAGAGAGGCUAA
Molecule: ribosomal RNA, 1530 nt
Filed under: Triticum aestivum (bread wheat)
Lineage: Eukaryota; Viridiplantae; Streptophyta; Magnoliopsida; Poales; Poaceae
Description: partial small subunit ribosomal RNA
Source: RNAcentral